RNAcentral lists this ribosomal RNA (429 nucleotides) under Acidobacteriota bacterium. Its description in RNAcentral is "Acidobacteria bacterium partial 16S ribosomal RNA". It matches the Rfam family "Bacterial small subunit ribosomal RNA", at positions 355 to 776 of the family's 1533-position model. Lineage: Bacteria; Pseudomonadati; Acidobacteriota. The record is from RNAcentral.
UGGGGAAUUUUGGACAAUGGGGGAAACCCUGAUCCAGCCAUCCCGCGUGUGCGAUGAAGGCCUUCGGGUUGUAAAGCACUUUUGGCAGGAAAGAAACGUCAUGGGUUAAUACCCCGUGAAACUGACGGUACCUGCAGAAUAAGCACCGGCUAACUACGUGCCAGCAGCCGCGGUAAUACGUAGGGUGCAAGCGUUAAUCGGAAUUACUGGGCGUAAAGCGUGCGCAGGCGGUUCGAAAAGAAAGAUGUGAAAUCCCAGAGCUCAACUUUGGAACUGCAUUUUUAACUACCGCGCUAGAGUGUGUCAGAGGGAGGUCGAAUUCCGCGUGUAGCAGUGAAAUGCGUAGAUAUGCGGGGGAACCCCGAUGGCGAGGGCGGCCUCCUGGGAUAACACUGACGCUCAUGCACGAAAGCGUGGGGAGCAAACGGG